Molecule: small RNA, 64 nt
Organism: Clostridium pasteurianum
Lineage: Bacteria; Bacillati; Bacillota; Clostridia; Eubacteriales; Clostridiaceae
Rfam family: RAGATH-18 RNA
About the family: Actinobacteria, Firmicutes, Fusobacteria, Thermotogae (1 example). Nearby to self-cleaving ribozyme genes
Source: Rfam
CCUUUGGAGCAACAUAUCAAACUGGAGUAGUCUUAUGACAAAACAGGUUGCGUUGAAUAAGGAA